This 499-nucleotide ribosomal RNA is filed under the name uncultured bacterium. Its description in RNAcentral is "bacterial SSU rRNA". It matches the Rfam family "Bacterial small subunit ribosomal RNA", at positions 30 to 526 of the family's 1533-position model. The record is from RNAcentral.
AUUGAACGCUGGCGGCAGGCCUAACACAUGCAAGUCGAACGGUAACAGGAUAGCUUGCUAUCGCUGACGAGUGGCGGACGGGUGAGUAAUACUUAGGGAUCUGCCCUUGGGUGGGGGACAACCAUUGGAAACGAUGGCUAAUACCGCAUAACGUCUACGGACCAAAGGGGGCUUCGGCUCUCGCCCUGGGAUGAACCUAAGCGAGAUUAGCUUGUUGGUGAGGUAACGGCUCACCAAGGCGACGAUCUCUAGCUGUUCUGAGAGGAAGAUCAGCCACACUGGGACUGAGACACGGCCCAGACUCCUACGGGAGGCAGCAGUGGGGAAUAUUGCACAAUGGGGGGAACCCUGAUGCAGCCAUGCCGCGUGUGUGAAGAAGGCCUUCGGGUUGUAAAGCACUUUCAGUUGUGAGGAAAGGUUGGUAGUUAAUACCUGCCAGCUGUGACGUUAACAACAGAAGAAGCACCGGCUAACUCCGUGCCAGCCGCCGCCGUAACAC